Molecule: ribosomal RNA, 253 nt
Filed under: uncultured bacterium
Lineage: Bacteria
Description: partial 16S ribosomal RNA
Rfam family: Archaeal small subunit ribosomal RNA
Source: RNAcentral
UACCAGCACCCCGAGUGGUCGGGACGUUUAUUGGGCCUAAAGCAUCCGUAGCCGGUUCUACAAGUCUUCCGUUAAAUCCACCUGCUUAACAGAUGGGCUGCGGAAGAUACUAUAGAGCUAGGAGGCGGGAGAGGCAAGCGGUACUCGAUGGGUAGGGGUAAAAUCCGUUGAUCCAUUGAAGACCACCAGUGGCGAAGGCGGCUUGCCAGAACGCGCUCGACGGUGAGGGAUGAAAGCUGGGGGAGCAACCCGG